AAGUCGUAACAAGGUUUCCGUAGGUGAACCUGCGGAAGGAUCAUUAGUGAACGAUUGGAGCUCGCCCUGGCGGAUCUUCUAAUCCUCACCCUGUGCACCGUGACAUUUUUUCAAAACGCUUUGAAAGUCAAUGGAUGUCUUGCUACCCAUUAAUAUGGCACAAAAUGAAGCAACGGAUCUCUUGGCUCUC
Molecule: unclassified non-coding RNA, 190 nt
Filed under: fungal sp.
Lineage: Eukaryota; Fungi
Description: partial internal transcribed spacer region
Rfam family: Eukaryotic small subunit ribosomal RNA (bases 1-46)
Source: RNAcentral